RNAcentral lists this ribosomal RNA (438 nucleotides) under uncultured bacterium. RNAcentral describes it as "partial 16S ribosomal RNA". It matches the Rfam family "Bacterial small subunit ribosomal RNA", at positions 28 to 507 of the family's 1533-position model. The record is from RNAcentral.
GAUGAACGCUGGCGGUAUGCUUAACACAUGCAAGUCGAACGCAGACUUUCGGGUCUGAGUGGCGGACGGGUGAGUAACGCGUGAGAAUCUGGCUUCAGGUUGGGGACAACCACGGGAAACGGUGGCUAAUACCCAAUGUGCCGUUGAGGUGAAAGAUUAAUUGCCUGAAGAUGAGCUCGCGUCUGAUUAGCUAGUUGGUGGGGUAAGAGCUCACCAAGGCGACGAUCAGUAGCUGGUCUGAGAGGACGAUCAGCCACACUGGGACUGAGACACGGCCCAGACUCCUACGGGAGGCAGCAGUGGGGAAUUUUCCGCAAUGGGCGAAAGCCUGACGGAGCAAUACCGCGUGAGGGAGGAAGGCUCUUGGGUUGUAAACCUCUUUUCUCAGGGAAGAAGGCAAUGACGGUACCUGAGGAAUCAGCAUCGGCUAACUCCGUG